This 370-nucleotide small RNA is filed under the name Pan troglodytes (chimpanzee). RNAcentral's name for it is "processed transcript". The record is from RNAcentral. Lineage: Eukaryota; Metazoa; Chordata; Mammalia; Primates; Hominidae.
UGGUUAAACACAUACCCAUCUAAAUUUUUUUAUAGCCUUCCAUGUUAAACUAUAAGUAAAUAAUUAGUUUUAAAAUUGUUUUGUAUUUUCUUAUUCCUGUUCCCUUUACCCUUUGACAACUUGAAAUGUUACCACUUCGUCCUCAUGAUGUUCUUCUAUCAACCCUGCUUAGGAUGAGAACAAGUUGAGCAGUGCCAACGGCCAUGAAGAACGUAGCAAAAAACAAACUUUCUGCCUCCUUGGAAAGCUCUACAUCUCCUUGUGAUUGGAGUGUGGGUUUCAAGAUUCCAGAAGGAGGAAAAAAAGCAAGAGCAGAAGUCGUAGUCAUGAACGAAAGAGAAGCAAAAGUAAGGAACGGAAGCGAAGUAGA